Molecule: ribosomal RNA, 593 nt
Filed under: Isabelozyma pseudorhagii
Lineage: Eukaryota; Fungi; Ascomycota; Pichiomycetes; Serinales; Metschnikowiaceae
Description: LSU rRNA
Rfam family: Eukaryotic large subunit ribosomal RNA
Source: RNAcentral
UCAAGGCAUGCUCGUACGGCGAGUGAGCGGCAAAAGCUCAAAUUUGGAAUCUGGCGCCUUCGGCGUCCGAGUUGUUGUAAUUUGAAGACUCUAUCUUGGAAUGCGGGCGCUGUUGAAGUUCCUUGGAACAGGACGUCACAGAGGGUGAGAAUCCCGUGCGAUGGCAGCCGCGGACCGUGUAAGUUAGUGUCUACGAGUCAAGUUGUUUGGGAAUGCAGCUCUAAGUGGGUGGUAAACUCCAUCUAAAGCUAAAUAUUGGCGAGAGACCGAUAGCGAACAAGUACAGUGAUGGAAAGAUGAAAAGAACUUUGAAAAGAGAGUGAAAAAGUACGUGAAAUUGUUGAAAGGGAAGGGCUUGAGAUCAGACAUGCCUUCGGGCAGGCCAGCAUCAGCUGGAAGGGGCAGACAAGGGCGCCGCAAUGUGGCCUGGUUCGGCGAGGUGUUAUAGGCGGCGUCAAUGUGUCCACUUCCGGCUGAGGACCGCGCUUCGGCAAGGAUGCUGGCGUAAUGAUCCCCAGCCGCCCGUCUUGAAAACCACGUUCGAGCUUAGGAUGUUGACAUGAUGCUUUAAACGACCCGUCUUGAAGCAACCA